UACAUGAGUGCUACAUGAGGCCAAGGCUCCUGCUGCUUCUGGGAUUUGCUCCUGUGUGUUCUGGGACAAGGCCUCUACCAGGAAUUCCCACUUGUUCGAGGGCCAGCUCUCGAAAUCUAGUCUAGACACCCUAACGAGGUGGAGGAUGUAAUUACACCUUGAAACACUCUGUGUACCAGUAACCCAGCUUCUCAUGUGUGUGACUCAAGCUCCAAGAGGGUUGUGAGGAUUCACUGGAUUAAUUUAUGUAAGCAUAUGUAAAGCUUAGAACACUGGCAGGCACACAGAAAGCUCUGCAUGGAUU
Molecule: long non-coding RNA, 304 nt
Organism: Lontra canadensis (Northern American river otter)
Lineage: Eukaryota; Metazoa; Chordata; Mammalia; Carnivora; Mustelidae
Exons: 3
Source: RefSeq, a predicted model, not a curated record